RNAcentral lists this long non-coding RNA (1464 nucleotides) under Carassius auratus (goldfish). RNAcentral's name for it is "lncRNA (ENSCARG00000036788.1)". Lineage: Eukaryota; Metazoa; Chordata; Actinopteri; Cypriniformes; Cyprinidae. The record is from RNAcentral.
CACACUGCCAUAUGCAUAAUUUGUUGUUAAUCAAUUUUUUAUAUUUUCACUUAGUGCAGGUUAAUGCAAGGAAGAUACUGUACUACAGAUAUUUAAAUCCUUUUUUGUAUGUACUCCACAUCUUCACUGCCUGACCAUCAUCUUAAUGUUUAUGAAGUUCAAUGUUUUUAUUAUUUUUUUAUAUCUAAAGCACCUUGUUCAGUAAGUAUUUAGAUGUUUUUUAGGUCUAAUCAUGAUCUGUUUCUGUUGUUCUGAUGAAGGAAGCUUGUGUUGGGGAGGAUUCAGUGUCUGUUGAGGCACAUGUGAAUGUGCUACAAAGUGAGUAUCAGAAAACACAUCCAGACACAUAGUCAAAGACCACACGGCAGGAACAUGAUUCUGGAGACGUUGAGAAAGCACGGAAGGAAUAUCUGAGGAGGAUGUACUCAAAAAAUACACAUACUUCAGGACACCUGCUGGAGUGAGUAUAUUAAAGAAAAAAAACUAAUCAACUGUAAAAUAUCUUGUUUCAAAUCUUUUCAGGUAGUGUUUUAUUCUUCUGUACCUUUUCAGCCCAUCUGUUAAAAAUUUAAACAAUAGUUUUAGAAAACAAUGUCAGAUUUAUCAGUGUAUACAAGAACAUGAAAUGCACCAUACAUUGUAAACCUUAUACAUUAGCUUCUGAUUGUUUCUGCAAUUCUGCGGUGGAUGUAGCUACACUGUCUGAGCCAAAGAGAAUGCAACAGAAUCUGAUGAAUCUGAAAAGUGUUUUCUUUUUUUCUUCUCGUUAUUAUUAUUAUUAUUAUUGUUGUUGUUGUUAUUAUUCUUUUUAUUUAUUUAUUUUAUGAAAGGGGGACCCGGCUACACCUUUCCUACCGUACACCUUAUGGACUCUGACUGUAAAAUGGCAAUCAUAGGAGCGCUCAGUGUGGUGACAGAAGAUGUAACAGAUGUGUGUCAGUGCACCAGCCUUGAUGAAGCCUUCAUAACAGCCUUGUGGAUGUAUUUUGCUUUCAACAUUGCAUAUCCACCACACCUGAGGAUGGUUGACUGGAAGUCUGUCAGUCCAGAUGUGAGGAAGACACACAGAGUGGAGCUGGAGCUCAGCAGAUGUGUGAUGGCUGUAGAUACUGCUAGGAAAGAAGGGCAUCUUCACAGCUUUCUAUUCAGACAAAGAGUUUGCUGGAUUCUGUUCUAUGGACUGCUACUACAGAAUGAAUUAAUGAAUGAGUGGUUUAUCUAUCUAUCUAUCUAUCUAUCUAUCUAUCUAUCUAUCUAUCUAUCUAUCUAUCUAUCUAUCUAUCUAUCUUUUUACUUGAAAUGGUGACUGAAACUGAAAGCUAAAUAAAUGUUUUAGUGGAUAAAGUUGUGUCUGUUUGCUUAAUUGGUUAAUGUCACUUAAAACAAGGUUACUAAACUCUUCUGACUAAUUUUUAUAUUUAUUAGUUUUUUUUAUUAUUUUUACUAAUUUUUCUCUAUCAGGCA